Molecule: ribosomal RNA, 253 nt
Filed under: uncultured bacterium
Lineage: Bacteria
Description: partial 16S ribosomal RNA
Rfam family: Bacterial small subunit ribosomal RNA
Source: RNAcentral
UACGUAGGGUGCAAGCGUUACUCGGAAUUACUGGGCGUAAAGCGUGCGCAGGCGGUUGUGCAAGACCGAUGUGAAAUCCCCGGGCUUAACCUGGGAACUGCGUUUGAAACUACAAGGCUAGAGUGUGGCAGAGGGGGGUGGAAUUCCACGUGUAGCAGUGAAAUGCGUAGAGAUGUGGAGGAACACCGAUGGCGAAGGCAGCCCCCUGGGUUAACACUGACGCUCAGGCACGAAAGCGUGGGGAGCAAACAGG